UACGAAGGGUGCUAGCGUUGUUCGGAAUUACUGGGCGUAAAGGGCGCGUAGGCGGCUUUACAAGUCAGGGGUGAAAUCCCACGGCUCAACCGUGGAAUUGCCUUUGAAACUGUAAAGCUAGAGUGUCGGAGGGGAUAGCGGAAUUGCUAAUGUAGAGGUGAAAUUCGUAGAUAUUAGCAGGAACACCGGUGGCGAAGGCGGCUAUCUGGACGACAACUGACGCUGAGGCGCGAAAGCAUGGGGAUCAAACAGG
RNAcentral lists this ribosomal RNA (253 nucleotides) under uncultured bacterium. RNAcentral's name for it is "partial 16S ribosomal RNA". It matches the Rfam family "Bacterial small subunit ribosomal RNA", at positions 524 to 776 of the family's 1533-position model. The record is from RNAcentral.